RNAcentral lists this ribosomal RNA (482 nucleotides) under uncultured bacterium. RNAcentral describes it as "partial 16S ribosomal RNA". It matches the Rfam family "Bacterial small subunit ribosomal RNA", at positions 30 to 507 of the family's 1533-position model. The record is from RNAcentral.
AUUGAACGCUGGCGGCAUGCCUUACACAUGCAAGUCGAACGGUAACGGGCCUUCGGGUGCCGACGAGUGGCGCACGGGUGAGUAAUACAUCGGAACGUGCCCGAUCGUGGGGGAUAACGAGGCGAAAGCUUUGCUAAUACCGCAUACGAUCUACGGAUGAAAGCAGGGGACCGCAAGGCCUUGCGCGGACGGAGCGGCCGAUGGCAGAUUAGGUAGUUGGUGGGAUAAAAGCUUACCAAGCCGACGAUCUGUAGCUGGUCUGAGAGGAUGAUCAGCCACACUGGGACUGAGACACGGCCCAGACUCCUACGGGAGGCAGCGGUGGGGAAUUUUGGACAAUGGGCGCAAGCCUGAUCCAGCCAUGCCGCGUGCAGGAUGAAGGCCUUCGGGUUGUAAACUGCUUUUGUACGGAACGAAAAGCCUUCUUUUAAUACAGGAGGGUCAUGACGGUACCGUAAGAAUAAGCACCGGCUAACUACGUG